RNAcentral lists this unclassified non-coding RNA (207 nucleotides) under Hevea brasiliensis (rubber tree). Lineage: Eukaryota; Viridiplantae; Streptophyta; Magnoliopsida; Malpighiales; Euphorbiaceae. The record is from RNAcentral.
UGCAGUCAAAGCGCACUGGGAACUUAAUUUAUUGAGGAAGAAUACCUCAAAUAAUUUAAGAUGGAAAGAUGUUUGCGGAAAAGAUGGAGUUUUGUCAAAAGCAUUGAAGAACCGAGUUGAGAUGGAGAGAGUCAGGAGGGAGUUUCUUUGCAAUUCUUCACAAGCACUAAAGAUGGAGAGCACUUUUGAUGCUACUAAUGAGAGGGA